UACGAAGGGGGCUAGCGUUGCUCGGAAUCACUGGGCGUAGAGCGCACGUAGGCGGACUCUUAAGUCAGGGGUGAAAUCCUGGAGCUCAACUCCAGAACUGCCUUUGAUACUGGGAGUCUUGAGUUCGGGAGAGGUGAGUGGAACUGCGAGUGUAGAGGUGAAAUUCGUAGAUAUUCGCAAGAACACCAGUGGCGAAGGCGGCUCACUGGCCCGAUACUGACGCUGAGGUGCGAAAGCGUGGGGAGCAAACAGG
Molecule: ribosomal RNA, 253 nt
Filed under: uncultured bacterium
Lineage: Bacteria
Description: partial 16S ribosomal RNA
Rfam family: Bacterial small subunit ribosomal RNA
Source: RNAcentral